This 944-nucleotide ribosomal RNA is filed under the name Sporormiella affinis. RNAcentral describes it as "mitochondrial SSU rRNA". It matches the Rfam family "Bacterial small subunit ribosomal RNA", at positions 358 to 1218 of the family's 1533-position model. The record is from RNAcentral. Lineage: Eukaryota; Fungi; Ascomycota; Dothideomycetes; Pleosporales; Sporormiaceae.
GGAAUAUUGGUCAAUGGCCUAACGGCUGAACCAGCAACUUGCAGGAAUGAGAGUUAAUAUAAAUGAUGUAUUAACUUGCUUGACUAGGUCUUAUAAAGUUCUGGAUAAAGCUGAUAAUGACAACUUUAUAUCCAUAGGUCUCGACUAAAUCUUGUGCCAGCAGUCGCGGUAAGACAAGGGAGACGAGUGUUAUUCAUCUUGAACAGGUAUAUUGGGUACCUAGACUGUGUAUUUAGGCUUUUAUAGUACCUACUACACUAGAGUUUAAUAUGUGAGAGGAAGAUGUCAGAAUUGUUGGAGUAGAGAUGAAAUCCUUUAAUACUAAUAGGACUGAUAAUGGCGAAGGCAAACCUCUAUGUAUAUGUACAUUUUUUUACUUAAAUAUCGGUUUAUACAUAACAUGUAGAGCGAAAAAAAAAGUAGAAAAGAGUACAGAACUGACGUUGAGGGACGAAGGCUCAGAGAGUGAAGAGGAUUAGAUACCCCCGUAGCCUGGGCAGACAAUGAUGAGUGCCAUAGGUUGGCUUUUAAGUUGAACUAUAAAUGAAAGUGGAAGCACUCCACCUCAAGAGUAAUGUGGCAACGCAGGAACUGAAAUCAUUAGACCGUUUCUGAAACCAGUAGUGAAGUAUGUUAUUUAAUUCGAUGAUCCGCGAAUAACCUUACCACAAUUUGAAUGCUCUAAAUUUUAUAUAGUAACUGUUUGGUUCACACACAUACAUCAAUACAACCACGAAAAACAGAUAGCCAUAGGCUAUAAUUAUAUAUUUAGACCACAUGCGUUGCAUGGCUGUCUUCAGUUAAUGUCGUGAGAUUUGGUUAGGUCCAUUAAAUUAACGUAAACCCUUGUCUUAUUUAAUACAAUAAGGCAGCUCUCCGCUUACAAUUGGAUAUGAUAACAGGGACUAAGACAAGUCAUCAUGGCCUUAAUAUUGUGGGCUAUA